Triticum urartu is the source of this 125-nucleotide non-coding RNA. NCBI's taxonomy places the organism in Eukaryota, Viridiplantae, Streptophyta, Magnoliopsida, Poales, Poaceae. The record is from Rfam.
CAUAUGCUCCCUCCGUCCCAAAUUACUUGUCACAUAAAUGGAUAGAAAUGAAUAUAUGUAGAACUAAAAUACAUCUAGAUACAUUCAUUCUUGCGACAAGUAAUUCUGGAUGGAGAGAGUAUCUG